Brassica rapa (field mustard) is the source of this 8327-nucleotide RNA transcript. RefSeq lists it as uncharacterized. The record is from RefSeq and is a predicted model, not a curated record. Lineage: Eukaryota; Viridiplantae; Streptophyta; Magnoliopsida; Brassicales; Brassicaceae.
AACAGAGGCGAGUUAGAUAUCUUAGACUUAAAAUGAAACCGAAAAGUAGAGGUAAAAAAAUCUGGUCCCCGUCGCAACGGCGCCAAAACUUGAUACACUAAAUAUGAAUCCUUGCUACUGCCAAGUUAACAGUUGUGAUUAUAGUACUUUAGAUUCAAUCCAGAGGACCAGUCUACACUUUACUCUUAUAAAUUUCAAUAUCAAGCUAAGAAGAAAAUGGUUUUUAAUUCAAUUGGUGACGCAGAAAACAAGUAAACUAGAGAUUGAUUCAAUUUAAAAAGCGGCUAGCCUAGGGUAUUUCAUUGGGUGUUGAGCGAGAGCCAAACAAUUAUUCAAGCGCGGUGCAGUGCUUUCUAGAACUCGGAUCACUCAGCUGGAACACCCCACUGUCGUGGUGGUGAUCUCUUUGCUGGUCGAUCCCAUCAUCUAACUGUCGUUGAGAUGAGAAGCGACUGCAAGCCUUAGAGGUCAGGUCCGAUCAGUUCACUUACUACCCUAAUAUCUACUUUCGCUGAUCAGGGAUACUAAGCUCAUUCAAUACAUGUCAAGCUAUCUCCUAAGCGGUUAGCUAGGCGAUAAACUUAGGAUCUAAUAUCAAGUGAUCAGACUAAUGGAAGCCUUAAGAAUAGUAUGGAUGAAGAAUAAUCAAGAAUAGCUUAUCUAUGUUUAGCUCAUAUUUCAACACCCUAAAAACCCUAGGCGAGCUAGAUCACUACUCAAUCAUGAUGCAAGCAAACAAACACAUAGAUACUGAAUGAAAUUGCAUAAUAAUAAGAGUAGUAAACAAGGGUUCAGAAGGUCUUCUCUAUGAGAGAAUGGAUUCUUCUCCCUUACAAGUUGCAGAUCGCAAAAGCUAAUAGUUCUCUUGUAAAAACUAGCGUCUGAAAUAAAAUAGGAUAGGUGGCGUCUUUAUAUGGAGGCGCCAAUAGGUAGAAGAGAAAUUAGGGCAACAAGGCCUUAAUUCCCAAAAAUAGAAGCUUCCUUAUUUGUCGGGAACAACCUCGGGAUCACUCCGUCUGCUUGUUCUGCUUGAGAACAGUCUCGGGACUGUUCGUCUUGAGUGUUCUCCGCAAAAUGCUCCAAAAGGACAGCUUCUCUUCAAGCACGCUUUCUUCAUUCUUCUACCAACUCCAGACCUGUAAGAGAUCAAAAAGGACUAGAUUGACUCGGAUUAAGGACUCGAAUCAAUACAAAAACACCUAUACAAUGAUGUGAAAAACACCAUAUAUCAAUAUGUGAUUUGAAGAAUAUCUCUAAUUUUGUAGGUGGUGGAUUGUUUUUUCGUGACCUUUGCUCGAGAACUUUGCAGAAAGAUCGUCUCCAAAUUCUAAAAAAAAACAUUAUUUUGAUCAUCUGCAAUUUAGAGAAGAUCUUUCCACCAUCAUUUUUUUACGUGAUGUAACAUCUCCCUAUACACCUCCCCUAUGAAGCUGAAUUAGGAGGACCUGUCAAUUAUAGGUUGAUGUAUAUCUUUGAAAGGAAUUUCAAAAAGUUGAAAGCAAAAGCAAAGAACAAAAGAUUUGUUGCUGGAUCGAUUGUUGAAUCAUAUAUCAAUGAGGAGAUUGCUUACUUUUCUGAGCACUACUUUGCUGAUCAUAUACAAACAAAAUCAAGGUAAAGACCUUCAUUAUCCUGCAGAUUCCUUUUUUCUUGUAUACUCGUGUUCUUACUUCAAUGUAAUGUGGUCCAUUAAUUUGUGCAGGUUUACACGAUUUGAUGAAGGUGAAGUUCAUGUAUACUGUGUCAGCGGAGUACCUGAUAUAUUUACACAUGUAGGUCGGUCGACAAAUGCAUCAGAUGAAGCUGAUUACUAUGGGAUCUUAACUGAUAUCAUUCAAAUUGAGUAUGAGGGGGCAGUGAAUUUGAAAAUUACACUUUUUAAGUGUAAGUGGUAUGAUCCUAUGAUUGGUAGAGGCACUCGGCGGAGCAAUGGUGGCAUCGUGGACGUUCUUUCAUCGAGGAAAUACUAUAAAUACGAACCAUUUAUUCUAGGUACGUACGUAUUAUUUAUACAUAUUAAUUAAUAUAAAUAAAUAUGUAUUAUUAAAUUUUUAUUAUAUGAUAACAGCAUCUCAAGCACAUCAAGUUUGUUAUAUCCCGUAUCCGUACGUAAAGAAACCAAAGCAGUUGUGGUACAAUGUUUUAAAAGUGAAUCUGAGGGGAAUCAUUUCAGGAGAAUACGAAGACAGCGAACCGGCAGUGUUACAACAAGACAAUGAUGAUGCUGUAUUGAUGACUACAAUUGAAGAUAUACCAGUCGACCAUUUGUUACAUGCUCAAGGAGAACCGAUUAAUCUUGAUAUUGAUGUCGAAGAUGCAGAACCGGAGGAUGAAUUCCAGUGUAAUCUAUCCUCGACUUCUUCUGAUGAUGAAUGUGAAGAUGGAGAAACACCAUCCUAAAAUGUUUUACCAUAACUUAUUAAGUCAUAUCCCUAAACUUAUGUUCUUUACUUUUAAAUAAUGUGUUGUUUACUUCCUAAUAAUGUGUUUUUAUAUUGUUAAGUGUUAUAUCCUAAAUUGCUAUAUCCAUUGAUCAAAAAAAAAUUUGCUAGACCCUAAAUUGUUAUAAGCAAAGAAAAAUAAAAUUUUAAACCCUAAAUUGUUAUAAGCAAAGAAAAAAAAAUUGCUACACCCUUUACCCUAAACCCGAAUUUUCCCCCUGAAUUUUUCUAAGUCCCCCGGUAAAGUGUAAACCCAAUUGAAAAAUUUUCCUAACUCCCGCCUAACCAAUUAAUCAAAUCCCGCUAAGCCCAAUUUUUAGACCCAAAACCAAAACAAAACCAACCUAAGCCUAAUACACUCAGACAACCGCAUCUCACUCUCUUUCGAUUAGAAAGAACCCUAAUCUCUCACCCUCCCUCGAAUCUCACUCUCUUUUGAUUCCACCGAAACCAUAGAACCCUAAUCUCUCACCCUCGCUCGAAUCUCACUCUCUUUCGAUUCCACCGAAACCAUAGAACCCUAAUCUCUCACCCUCUCUCGAAUCUCACUAUGUCCAAUUCCUAAUCGCUGAAUUCCAGAAACGCCUCAUCUCUCUUUUGAGACCUAAAGAACCCUAAUCUCUCAUCUCUCUUUGAAACGAUGUCAUCAAAAAAGAAGCAGAAAGUUUCAAAAAAAUCUCCCCUUCCCUCGCAGUACCAUUUCGUUCCUAAGACGACAGCUCCUCCUGUCCCCAACCGCCGAUCUCCACCAGGCGUGAGUGACUACCCACCUCCGAGGCAGCUCUUCCAAGACUCAGAGGCCCAAACUCAAGCUGCUUCAGGGCCUCUUCAUCAACCAUCUCCACCGCCUCUUCAUCAACCAUCUCCACCGUCACAAUCUCGACGGUCCGAAACGUCAGCGACGCGACGUUCUCCCAGCAGGUCUCAGUCUCAAGACUCUGCGAGUACAGAAAGUCCAGAAGCUGUGGAACCGACGCUCUCUGAUGAGCAGACUCGUUUACUCAACCAACUGCUAUCCCAGCCAAACUGGGGCACUGACAUACCAAUCCUUUCUCCAGCCUUUGAGCCUGGAACAACAUGGUUUGGUCGUGACAAAGGGAAACUGACCCGGAGGAUCACAAAGACUUUUACAAAAAAGUUUGAUGAAGCUUAUUACAGUUGGAGUGUUGUGCCUCAGAACAAAAGAGAGACGAUAUUUGUAGAAUUUGCAAAAACUCACACUUGGGAUCAAAUACACACUGGUAUUGUUCAGGAGAAGUUUGAGGCGGUAUGUCAGCGACGUAUGAAGAACAUGGUUAGCGUUCGUAGGAGGUCACGAGUGCGACCACCCUGGAUCCACGGUGAACUGUGGGAACAAAUGACUGCGUAUUGGGACACUCCCGAAGCGGAAAAAAGAGUCAGACAGCAUCGGACUCUCGGUUGUCUGACCGGAACGGACUUGGUCCACACAAGCACAACUCCGGCCAGAAGUCUUUCGAACAAAUCGAACAUGAAAUGGUUGAGAAAUUGGGCAGACCAGUUACUCUUGGUGAAGUUUUCAUGGAGACACAUACAAGAAAGGAUGGGACCUUUGUCGAUUUGAAAGCAGAGAAGGUUGCAGAGAUGUAUAAGAAGAACAAAGAAGCCAAGUUGACUGCCCUUGAGGCUGAAAACUCACAGACUUCAGACAGUGCUUCCAAUGAUCCACAGCUCUCCAUAGAGGAGGAUAAUAAGAUAUUCCUUUUGUCAACUUUCACAAAUGAAAGAGGACAGCACUAUGGCAUUGAAAGCCUCCAGCAAACUCUCGUCAAUGGGAAACGGACGUUCAGUGAAUUAUCUUCAUCUGCAUUCCUCGACAUGAAGAAGCUUCUUGAAGAUGCUCACCGCAAAAUAGAAGAGCAGGCUGCUUCUAAUGCAGCACAUGCUGCUAUUAUUGAAGAGCAAGGUGCUUGUAUUGCAGAGCAAUCAAAGCAGAUCAAGGAGUUCUCUAUAGUGGGGAAGUUUCUAGCUGCAACUAAUCCAUUAUAUAAUGAGUUUGUAGCUGCUAAUACCAGCACCUGAUCAUGCUUUCCUGUUUAUUUACCUAGAAACUUAUGACUUUUGUAAGUUCUUUUGUUUAGUUGCUUGUUUCAAACUUUUGGAGCUUUAACAUUUUCAGUUUCAAUAUUAACCACUGCUUUUUAAUUUUACAAUGCUCGAUAGCAUAGAUUUAUUAGCAUUACAAACCAGAAAGCACCUAAAAUCGGAAUGGCAAAUUCAAAGAAACAAAAUGAAGAGUCGUAAUUCAGUUGGAUAAAAUUACAACAUUUUACGACUAAACCGCGACUGAUAAAAACAUGUAGUCGCGAAGUAGUCGCAACAUUAGCGACUGAACUGCGACAACAACUGUGACUACACUCAGACUAAACAGGUAGUCGCUAAAUGGUUGCAAAAUUAACGACUGCAUUGGGACUACAUCAGUGACUACACUCGGACUAAACAAUUAGUCGUUAAACGGUCGCAAAUUUAACGACUACACUACGACUUCAUGCUCCGACUAAUUGAUGACUCCUAAUAACCGACUGAUUAACAACUGCUGAUAAACUAAGUAAUUGACUAAAAAUAGUCCUAUAUUGGACGUGAAGCAAUCGGAGUGUAGUCGUAACACAUUAUGACUAUUAGACGACUAUAUGCCGACUGAAUUGUUUAGUUGUAAAUGUGUCGUAGAACAGUCGUAAUAUAGCGACUGAUUUACGACCAAUAUAACUACUGACGCGUUGAUUGACGACCAUGCUUAGUAGUCGCUAUUCAGUCGUAAAACGUCAUUUGCGACUGUUUCGCUUCUGAUUCUGCAGUCGGGAACUACUUGUUUUCUUGUAGUGCUCCCGCAGUUGGAGCGUGGGUUUGAUCACGCCAAGACUGGAUCUGAAGUCUGUAAACAAGGUCGUUGGUAGGCCCUUUGUGAAGAUGUCAGCGUACUGGAGAGUAGCAGGUAUGUGCAUUACUCUAACUUCACCCAUUUUUACUUUUUUUCCCGUACGAAAUGGAUGUCUAUCUCAAUGUGCUUUGUACGUUGAUGCUGUACCGGAUUCGUUGAGAAGUAUACCGCACUAACAUUGUCACAGUAUACCAAUGUAGCUUGUUGAAGUGGAUUGCCCAUCUCGAGGAGGAGGUUUCGUAGCCAGCAAGCUUCAGCUACCGCAUUCGCCACGACUUUGUACUCAGCCUCCGCGCUUGUUCCUGAAACAGUGGGCUGGCGUUUUCUGACCAUGAGACCAGGUUGUUGCCAAGAUAGAGACAGUAACCGGAAGUGGAGCAUCUUUUUGUUGGACAUCCACCCCAAUCAGCAUCAGGUAAAGCCGUUAGCGUCAAUUUCUGUUGUCUUAGAAGCUGUAGACCGAGCUUUUUGGUACCUUGUAUAUAGCGGAUAACGCGUUUGAGAGCAAGGAGAUGGCCUUCGCGUGGAUCGUGCAUGAAGAGGCAGAGUUGUUGCACCGCAUAGGAUAUGUCUUGUCUAGUGAAUUUCAGGUAUUGUAGAACCCCGGCCAAGCUUCGAUAUUCAGUCGGAUUCUGGAGUGGUUUGCCUUCAUCUUCCGAGAUUUUUGAUUUCAAAUCCACCGGUGUAGCGCAUGGUUUGCACUCGGACAUUCCAGCUCGUGCAAUGAUGUCCUCAGCGUACUUGGACUGAUUUAGAAAUAACCCUUUGUCGUUGAAUGUAGUUGAGAUGCCAAGGAAAGAAUGGAUGAUGCCUGAAUUUGACAUAGGAAACUCUGACUUCAGUAGCUUAAUGAUCGUUUCCUUUAGAGUUGUCGUCGAGGCUGUGAUAAUGAUGUCGUCGACGUAUAGAAUCAGAUAGGCUUGUACUCCAUUUUUCCUGUAUAUAAACAAGCUUGUACUCCAUUUUUCCUGUAUAUAAACAAGCUUGUAUCCAUUUUGCUUUGCUCAAAACCAGCAUUAGUAAUAAAAUUCAUAAAGCGAGCAUUCCAAACCCCUGGGGCUUGUUUAAGGCCAUAGAUAGAUCGCUUAAGCUUACAUACAUGAUUUGGUUUUGAUUGAUUAACAAACCCAUGUGGCUGAAACAUGAAGACAGGUUCAUCGAGUGUGCCAUGGAGAAAUGUGUUUUGCACAUCAAGUUGAUGUACAUCCCAGUUAUUGGCAAGAGCUAGGUGUAGCAGCGUGCGUAUGGUGGCUGGCUUGACGACAUGGCUGAACGUUUCGCCGUAGUCUAUGCCAUGCUCCUGGGAUUUUCCAUUAGCUACCAGUCUCGAUUUAUGUUUCCUGAAAACACCAUUAGCAUCAUACUUGUGCUUAUGAAGCCACAUUGAUCGCACUAUGUUAGUGUUUGGAGGCCUUGGCACCAAAUCAUAAGUAUCACUUUUAAUAAUAGCAUCAUACUCGACAUUCAUGGAUGGAUUCCAAUUUGGAUCAUCUAGAGCUUGAAAAUAGCUUUUUGGUAAAGGUGAUUGAGUUUGAGUAAGAAGUGAGAAAAUCUUUUUGGGUUUGGAGAUGCCAUGUCUUGAUCUUGUUGACAUAGCGUGCCUAGGUUCCUCUGUUGCUACUUGAGCAACUUGAGUUGGCGCCCCCUGUUGUGGAGACUCUACAACCGGAAGAGUUGGUGUAGAUGAAGUCUGAAGUAUUUGUUUGAAGAUAGGAGAAGGCUCGGUUUCAUGUAACAAGAAGUCAUAGGAGAUAGGUUUGUUCUGUUGAGAUUUUUCAUAAAGAAAGCUUGUUUCAUCAAAGUUCACAUUUCGUGAGAUGAUGAUCCGUCUGGUGUCGAGAUCAUCACACAUGUAUCCUCGAUGAUCGUGAGGAUAGCCAAAGAAAACACAUUUAGAGGAUCUUGGUGAGGGUUUAGGAAGAUGAGUGUGGUUGAUGUUUGGGUAACAUAAGCAACCAAAUACUUUUAAGUGUGAGUAUGAUACCGGUUUGUUAAAAAGAACAGAGAAAGGGCUCCUGUUUUGAAUGGCCUUUGAGGGUAAGAGGUUGAGGAUAUGGACAACCGUAUGAAGAGCUUCUACCCAAAAAGUUGAUGGUAGAUGAGCUUGAAAGAGUAGGCUACGCAUUGCAUUAUUAAUUGUGUGUAUCAUCGUCUCAGAUUUUCCGUUUUGUUGAGAAGAGUAGGGACAUAAAAAACGAAAGGUUAUGCCCUUUGUAGCGAAGAAAUCAUGAAACUGUUUGUUAUCGAACUCACCACCGUUAUCACAUUGAAGUGACUUUAUGUCUUUACCAAAUUGGUUCUUGACAUAGGUGGUGAAGUUUAGGGACUUCAUCUUCAACCUGCAAAACAAUUCCUAAGAUUGUCUAGAACCUAUGGAAUCAAGUGUUGAGAAGCAAUUUUUGCUAGAGAAAAAGUGUUUUGGAUUUAAGGUUUAUAAUAUUGUAGUCACUAAUGUUAGCAACUAACUUAUAACCAAAUUAGAAUUGAGACUAAUUAGCAACUAUUUUUUUAUACUAAAGCGUAACAGAAAAAGUGGUAUAAAAUUUUGUGCAACUACAACUAUUAGUUAAAAUAGUUGCUAAUUUACCACCGAUUAAAUAGUUUCACCGUAGUUUCACCGCAGUUAAAAUAGUUGCUUUUUUUGCAACUAAUUUGCAACUAAAUAUUUUCUGCGACGAGGUUUUUUUAACUACAUUUAGUAGUUACAAAAUAGUUACAUUUUCGAUAUUUGCAACUACCUUGUAACUAUUGUUGUAGUUGUAAAAUUGAUGUUUUCUUGUAGUGAGAGUUUUACAAUGUCAAUUUUUUUUUUUUUACAAUUAAUACUAUUUUUAUUAUUUUUACUUUCUCUUUUAUAAAUAGAAUAUUACUUGGCAGUUUCUUACUGAUAAUUACUUUAAUGGUGAACAUAUAUAUUCACCUUAGGUCUUUAGAAGGUGAACCAAAAAAAAACUCAUAUAGUUAUAUGACAACCACCAAGCAUAUAUCAU